GUUAAGCGACUAAGCGUACACGGUGGAUGCCCUGGCAGUCAGAGGCGAUGAAGGGCGUGCUAAUCUGCGAUAAGCGCCGGUAAGGUGAUAUGAACCGUUAUAACCGGCGAUACCCGAAUGGGGAAACCCAGUGUGAUUCGUCACACUAUCAUUAACUGAAUCCAUAGGUUAAUGAGGCGAACCGGGGGAACUGAAACAUCUAAGUACCCCGAGGAAAAGAAAUCAACCGAGAUUCCCCCAGUAGCGGCGAGCGAACGGGGAGGAGCCCAGAGCCUGAAUCAGCAUGUGUGUUAGUGGAAGCGUCUGGAAAGGCGCGCGAUACAGGGUGACAGCCCCGUACACAAAAGCGCAUGUGCUGUGAGCUCGAUGAGUAGGGCGGGACACGUGGUAUCCUGUCUGAAUAUGGGGGGACCAUCCUCCAAGGCUAAAUACUCCUGACUGACCGAUAGUGAACCAGUACCGUGAGGGAAAGGCGAAAAGAACCCCGGCGAGGGGAGUGAAAAAGAACCUGAAACCGUGUACGUACAAGCAGUGGGAGCACAGGUUUACCUGUGUGACUGCGUACCUUUUGUAUAAUGGGUCAGCGACUUAUAUUCUGUAGCAAGGUUAACCGUAUAGGGGAGCCGUAGGGAAACCGAGUCUUAACCGGGCGUUAAGUUGCAGGGUAUAGACCCGAAACCCGGU
Molecule: ribosomal RNA, 684 nt
Filed under: Salmonella enterica subsp. enterica serovar Newport
Lineage: Bacteria; Pseudomonadati; Pseudomonadota; Gammaproteobacteria; Enterobacterales; Enterobacteriaceae
Description: partial 23S ribosomal RNA
Rfam family: Bacterial large subunit ribosomal RNA
Source: RNAcentral